GUUUUUCUUCAGAAACGGGUGAAAUUCCCUAUCGGCGGUAAAAGCCCGCGAGCCUUAUGGCAUAAUUUGGUCAGAUUCCAAAGCCGACAGUAAAAUCUGGAUGGUAGAAGAAAAUA
Clostridioides difficile CD160 is the source of this 116-nucleotide non-coding RNA. NCBI's taxonomy places the organism in Bacteria, Bacillati, Bacillota, Clostridia, Peptostreptococcales, Peptostreptococcaceae. The record is from Rfam.